This 460-nucleotide ribosomal RNA is filed under the name uncultured bacterium. Its description in RNAcentral is "partial 16S ribosomal RNA". It matches the Rfam family "Bacterial small subunit ribosomal RNA", at positions 338 to 795 of the family's 1533-position model. The record is from RNAcentral.
CCUACGGGAGGCUGCAGUGAGGAAUAUUGGUCAAUGUGCGCGAGCCUGAACCAGCCAAGUAGCGUGAAGGAUGACUGCCCUACGGGUUGUAAACUUCUUUUAUAAAGGAAUAAAGUGAGGCACGUGUGCCGUUUUGUAUGUACUUUAUGAAUAAGGAUCGGCUAACUCCGUGCCAGCAGCCGCGGUAAUACGGAGGAUCCGAGCGUUAUCCGGAGUUAUUGGGUUUAAAGGGAGCGUAGAUGGGUUGUUAAGUCAGUUGUGAAAGUUUGAGGCUCAACCGUAAAAUUGCAAUUGAUACUGGCAUUCUUGAGUACAGUUGAGGUAGGCGGAAUUCGUGGUGUAGCGGUGAAAUGCUUAGAUAUCACGAAGAACUCCGAUUGCGAAGGCAGCUUACUAACCUGCCACUGACAUUGAUGCUCGAAAGUGUGGGUAUCAAACAGGAUUAGAUACCCCAGUAGUC